AGGUUCCUCCUCCGUUUAUACCGAACGUGUCUGAGCAAGAAAUCGGUGACAAAUACAUUCCUGCCGAGUUCAAGUCGGAUACAGUAGCAAAUACACCAUCAGACGGUGCAGGUGCUCUGCAUGGUGGGGAAGGAGAGCCAUUUGAGCAGUUUACGUUUGUGGGUGACAAAGGCAAUCUGCACACAUGAUUUCGUUUGUAGGAUUUUUGUGAGAUAUCGUACAUUUCAAGUUGAUCGUGAUUGGAUAGGAGGAAUGAAUACCAGAAUGGGUCGCGAUCCGAUCGCGAAUUAUAUGAUGAGAGAUCUAGCAAGUGGCUUCCUCUUCCACUCAUGACACACAAACGGUGGUUACAUGCUGCAUUCUCAACUCAGAAUGGAGAACUCAUCACAGCGGGAGGGUUGGAUGAAGAACUCGAAACCAUCAUGUCAAUAGAAAGUCUGAAAUGUCCAUAACAUUUUGUGUUAACAAAUUACCUUAUUUUUAGUUUGUGUGUAUUUGACAUUUUGUUACGUUUAUCCAACUGUAUGUUUAUGGAAGACACUUGGCGUGUAUGCAAGUGUAAGAGCAUCUAAUGAUACCAUAUUAUAUUAUUAUAUCACAUCAAGCUCCAUAUUCACGUUUUUCUAUCAAACAUACCUCCUUACAUCAGCAGACGUUGAGAAAGCGCUCAAAUCUCAUAAAGCAAUAAUACCAUCUAUUAUCAUUCAGCAACAACAUAAUCCAUAUUCCUCAUGUGUACAACUGUUUAUAUAAUUGACGUCGAUAGUAAACUCGGUCGACAUGAACU
Long non-coding RNA from Corticium candelabrum, 787 nucleotides. RefSeq lists it as uncharacterized. The transcript is spliced from 3 exons. The record is from RefSeq and is a predicted model, not a curated record. NCBI's taxonomy places the organism in Eukaryota, Metazoa, Porifera, Homoscleromorpha, Homosclerophorida, Plakinidae.